RNAcentral lists this ribosomal RNA (450 nucleotides) under uncultured bacterium. RNAcentral's name for it is "bacterial SSU rRNA". It matches the Rfam family "Bacterial small subunit ribosomal RNA", at positions 28 to 478 of the family's 1533-position model. The record is from RNAcentral.
GAUGAACGCUGGCGGCGUGCUUAACACAUGCAAGUCGAGCGAAGCAGUUAAGUUGAUUUCUUCGGAUUGAUUCUUGACUGACUGAGCGGCGGACGGGUGAGUAACGCGUGGGUGACCUGCCCCAUACCGGGGGAUAACAGCUGGAAACGGCUGCUAAUACCGCAUAAGCGCACAGAGCUGCAUGGCUCGGUGUGAAAAACUCCGGUGGUAUGGGAUGGACCCGCGUCUGAUUAGGCAGUUGGCGGGGUAACGGCCCACCAAACCGACGAUCAGUAGCCGGCCUGAGAGGGCGACCGGCCACAUUGGGACUGAGACACGGCCCAAACUCCUACGGGAGGCAGCAGUGGGGAAUAUUGCACAAUGGGGGAAACCCUGAUGCAGCGACGCCGCGUGAGCGAAGAAGUAUUUCGGUAUGUAAAGCUCUAUCAGCAGGGAAGAUAAUGACGGUAC